CCUACGGGUGGCAGCAGUGAGGAAUAUUGGUCAAUGGACGAGAGUCUGAACCAGCCAAGUAGCGUGAAGGAUGACUGCCCUAUGGGUUGUAAACUUCUUUUAUAUGGGAAUAAAAUGUUCCACGUGUGGGAUUUUGUAUGUACCAUAUGAAUAAGGAUCGGCUAACUCCGUGCCAGCAGCCGCGGUAAUACGGAGGAUCCGAGCGUUAUCCGGAUUUAUUGGGUUUAAAGGGAGAGUAGGUGGAUUGUUAGGUCAGUUGUGAAAGUUUGCGGCUGAACCGUAAAAUUGCAGUUGAAACUGGCAGUCUUGAGUACAGUAGAGGUGGGCGGAAUUCGUGGUGUAGCGGUGAAAUGCUUAGAUAUCACGAAGAACUCCGAUUGCGAAGGCAGUUCACUGGACUGCAACUGACACUGAGGCUCGAAAGUGUGGGUAUCAAACAGGAUUAGAUACCCUAGUAGUC
Molecule: ribosomal RNA, 460 nt
Filed under: uncultured bacterium
Lineage: Bacteria
Description: partial 16S ribosomal RNA
Rfam family: Bacterial small subunit ribosomal RNA
Source: RNAcentral